UUCAUGGCUAAACCAGCUGAAGAACAGCUUGAUGUGGGACAGUCUAAAGAUGAAAACAUACAUACAUCACGUAUUACCCAAGACGAAUUUCAAAGAAAUUCAGACAGAAAUAUGGAAGAGCCUGAAGAGAUGGGAAAUGAUUGUGUUUCCAAAAAACAGAUGCCACCUGUGGGAAGCAAGAAAAGUAGCACUAGAAAAGAUAAGGAAGAAUCUAAAAAGAAGCGCUUUUCCAGUGAGUCCAAGAACAAACUUGUACCUGAAGAAGUGACUUCAACUGUCACAAAAAGUCGAAGAAUUUCCAGGCGUCCAUCUGAUUGGUGGGUGGUAAAAUCAGAGGAGAGUAAGUAUUUUUAUUUAAAUUGUGUUUGUUCAUAGACAAAAUCAUUCUGUAAGGGGCAUUAUGUUUGAUUUUAUAUUUCUAUAUAGAGAAUAUCAUGAGGACCAAGUUAAAUUGGGUCAUCAAAAGGAAUAUUAAAUCAAUUGUAAAGAUAUUCCUUGAAGCGUUAAUAUAUACAGUAUUUUAGGAAUAGUGAUAAUAGCUGUGGGAAAACAAAACCCCAAACCAGAAAUCCCUGCUCUCAUGGAGCUUGCAUUCUAGUUGGGAAAGGCAAUAUAAAUAAUCCAGCUAUUUUAAUGUCCUGGCUGUGAGGGAUACAAAGAUUGAUAAUAUGAGGUUCUGCCACCAAGGAGUU
Molecule: small RNA, 692 nt
Filed under: Pan troglodytes (chimpanzee)
Lineage: Eukaryota; Metazoa; Chordata; Mammalia; Primates; Hominidae
Description: retained intron
Source: RNAcentral